Molecule: ribosomal RNA, 1346 nt
Filed under: uncultured bacterium
Lineage: Bacteria
Description: partial 16S ribosomal RNA
Rfam family: Bacterial small subunit ribosomal RNA
Source: RNAcentral
GACGAACGCUGGCGGCGUGCUUAACACAUGCAAGUCGAACGGAAAGGCCCUGCUUUUGUGGGGUGCUCGAGUGGCGAACGGGUGAGUAACGCGUGAGUAACCUGCCCUUGACUUUGGGAUAACUUCAGGAAACUGGGGCUAAUACCGGAUAGGAGCUCCUGCUGCAUGGUGGGGGUUGGAAAGUUUCGGCGGUUGGGGAUGGACUCGCGGCUUAUCAGCUUGUUGGUGGGGUAGUGGCUUACCAAGGCUUUGACGGGUAGCCGGCCUGAGAGGGUGACCGGCCACAUUGGGACUGAGAUACGGCCCAGACUCCUACGGGAGGCAGCAGUGGGGAAUAUUGCACAAUGGGCGGAAGCCUGAUGCAGCAACGCCGCGUGCGGGAUGACGGCCUUCGGGUUGUAAACCGCUUUCGCCUGUGACGAAGCGUGAGUGACGGUAAUGGGUAAAGAAGCACCGGCUAACCACGUGCCAGCAGCCGCGGUGAUACGUAGGGUGCGAGCGUUGUCCGGAUUUAUUGGGCGUAAAGGGCUCGUAGGUGGUUGAUCGCGUCGGAAGUGUAAUCUUGGGGCUUAACCCUGAGCGUGCUUUCGAUACGGGUUGACUUGAGGAAGGUAGGGGAGAAUGGAAUUCCUGGUGGAGCGGUGGAAUGCGCAGAUAUCAGGAGGAACACCAGUGGCGAAGGCGGUUCUCUGGGCCUUUCCUGACGCUGAGGAGCGAAAGCGUGGGGAGCGAACAGGCUUAGAUACCCUGGUAGUCCACGCUGUAAACGGUGGGUACUAGGUGUGGGGUCCAUUCCACGGGUUCCGUGCCGUAGCUAACGCUUUAAGUACCCCGCCUGGGGAGUACGGCCGCAAGGCUAAAACUCAAAGGAAUUGACGGGGCCCCGCACAAGCGGCGGAGCAUGCGGAUUAAUUCGAUGCAACGCGUAGAACCUUACCUGGGUUUGACAUGGAUCGGGAGUGCUCAGAGAUGGGUGUGCCUCUUUUGGGGUCGGUUCACAGGUGGUGCAUGGCUGUCGUCAGCUCGUGUCGUGAGAUGUUGGGUUAAGUCCCGCAACGAGCGCAACCCUUGUUCACUGUUGCCAGCACGUUAUGGUGGGGACUCAGUGGAGACCGCCGGGGUCAACUCGGAGGAAGGUGGGGAUGACGUCAAGUCAUCAUGCCCCUUAUGUCCAGGGCUUCACGCAUGCUACAAUGGCUGGUACAGAGAGUGGCGAGCCUGUGAGGGUGAGCGAAUCUCGGAAAGUCGGUCUCAGUUCGGAUUGGGGUCUGCAACUCGACCUCAUGAAGUCGGAGUCGCUAGUAAUCGCAGAUCAGCAACGCUGCGGUGAAUACGUUCCCGGGGCU